GCGCCUGUAGCUCAGCUGGAUAGAGCAACUGGCUUCGAACCAGUAGGUCGCAGGUUCAAGUCCUGCCGGGCGCGCCA
RNAcentral lists this transfer RNA (77 nucleotides) under Candidatus Omnitrophota bacterium. RNAcentral's name for it is "Candidatus Omnitrophica bacterium tRNA-Arg". It matches the Rfam family "tRNA". From Rfam's summary of the family: Transfer RNA (tRNA) molecules are approximately 80 nucleotides in length. Their secondary structure includes four short double-helical elements and three loops (D, anti-codon, and T loops). The record is from RNAcentral. Lineage: Bacteria; Pseudomonadati; Candidatus Omnitrophota.